AGAGAGUGCAAGCGUUAAUCGGAAUUACUGGGCGUAAAGCGCACGUAGGUGGAUAUUUUAGUCGGAUGUGAAAGCCCCGGGCUUAACCUGGGAACUGCAUUCGAAACUGGAUGUCUAGAGUAUAGUAGAGGAAAGUGGAAUCUCCGGUGUAGCGGUGAAAUGCGUAGAUAUCGGAAGGAACACCAGUGGCGAAAGCGACUUUCUGGACUAAUACUGACACUGAGGUGCGAAAGCGUGGGGAGCAAACAGGAUUAGAGACCCUGGUAGUCCACGCCGUCAACGAUGAGAACUAGAUGUUGGGAGGGUCUACCCUCUUGGUAUCGAAGCUAACGCGUUAAGUUCUCCGCCUGGGGAUACGGCCGCAAGGCUA
This 370-nucleotide ribosomal RNA is filed under the name uncultured organism. RNAcentral describes it as "partial 16S ribosomal RNA". It matches the Rfam family "Bacterial small subunit ribosomal RNA", at positions 527 to 896 of the family's 1533-position model. The record is from RNAcentral.